UGCGGGCUCAACCCGCAUUUUGCAAUUGAUACUUUCUUUCUUGAGUACGAGAGGGGACGGUGGAAUAUUUAGUGUAGCGGUGGAAUGCGUAGAUAUUAAAUAGAACACCUGAGGCGAAGGCGACUGUCUGGCUCGUAACUGACACUGAAAUACGAAAGUAUGGGUAGCAAACAGGAUUAGAUACCCUGGUAGUCCAUACCGUAAACGAUGGAUACUAGGUGUCGGAGGCUUAACCCCUUCGGUGCCGUAGCUAACGCGUUAAGUAUCCCGCCUGGGGAGUACGAUCGCAAGGUUGAAACUCAAAGGAAUUGACGGGGGCCCGCACAAGCGGUGGAGCAUGUGGUUUAAUUCGAUGCAACGCGAAGAACCUUACCUGGGCUUGAACUGUAGUGGACCGUCAUAGAGAUAUGAUUUUUCCUUCACGGGAACUGCUAUAGAGGUGCUGCAUGGCUGUCGUCAGCUCGUGUCGUGAGAUGUUGGGUUAAGUCCCGCAACGAGCGCAACCCUUAUCGCUAAUUACCAUCGAGUAAUGUCGGGGACUUUAGCGAGACUGCCCGGGUUAACCGGGAGGAAGGUGGGGAUGACGUCAAGUCCUCAUGGCCCUUAUGUCCAGGGCUACACACGUGCUACAAUGGUCGGUACAGAGUGUCGCUACAAUGUGAGUUGAUGCUAAUCACUAAACCCGAUCUCAGUUCGGAUUGCAGUCUGCAACUCGACUGCAUGAAGUUGGAAUCGCUAGUAAUCGUGGAUCAGCAUGCCACGGUGAAUACGUUCCCGGGCCUUGUACACACCGCCCGUCACACCAUGGAAGUCUAUAGUGCUCGAAAUGACUGAUCUAACCUUCGGGAGGAAGGUCACUAAGGCAAGAUCGAUAACUGGGGUGAAGUCGUAACAAGGUA
RNAcentral lists this ribosomal RNA (899 nucleotides) under uncultured bacterium. RNAcentral describes it as "bacterial SSU rRNA". It matches the Rfam family "Bacterial small subunit ribosomal RNA", at positions 602 to 1498 of the family's 1533-position model. The record is from RNAcentral.